Carassius gibelio (silver crucian carp) is the source of this 2536-nucleotide long non-coding RNA. RefSeq lists it as uncharacterized. NCBI's taxonomy places the organism in Eukaryota, Metazoa, Chordata, Actinopteri, Cypriniformes, Cyprinidae. The transcript is spliced from 3 exons. The record is from RefSeq and is a predicted model, not a curated record.
AAAACAAUAGGGCUCUCGCCCUCCAGGCUUGAGCCCUAAUUAAAGCUGCAAGCAGCGAUGAACGGGCCCUCGCACCCGGGCUCACCGCCAGCGAGUGGCUUUAGUUAAAAGGUGAACGGUGAGAAAUAUGCGUUUAAACUCAUAAAUAUAAGUAGAAUAUAUCAAUGUUUAUUCCAUAUAUGUGCCAAUCUUCCUGUUGCCAGCAGGUGGCACUAUCAUUAUAAUGGAAUAUUGGCCUUCAGAUGUGUUCAGGGCAGGACUUUUAUCGAACAUGUGAGGUUUGGGGAGGAUUGGACAUUUUAUGCCUGAGUUACAACAACUUCUCUUGCUGUGGCGAGACAUCAAAAUUUGUCAUGGCUCCAUGUACACGCCCUUUAACAAAAACUCAAGAUCUCCACAAGUUAACAUUGCACAGGCCUUUAGAUUAGACUGAAUACAAAAAAUACUUUAAUCUCAAAAAAAUUCUUGGAGUAGUUUGUCGCAGCGUAAAACAUGUCACUUCCUGUUGCCAGCAGGUGGCGCUAUGACUAUAACUGAAAAUUGGCAUGUAGAUCUGUUAAGGGCAGAAGUCUUAUCUAACAUGUGAAGUUUGGGGCAGAUUGGACAUUGUAUGUCUGAGUUACAGCAACGUCCUUUUUCAUGGCGAAACAUCAAAAUUUGGCAGGCCGCCAUGGACACGCCCUUUAACGAAACCUCAAGAUCUUCGCAAUUUUACAUCACAAAGGCCUUUAGAUUACAUUGAAGAAGUUUGGUGUUGAUCUGAAUAAAUCUCUAGGAGGAGUUCGUUAAAGUACAACCCCUGAAAAUGGCAAAAACAACACCAAUUUUGAAGGGAAAAUUCUAAAUAACCGACUUCCUGUUGGGAUCCGGAUUUCGUACCAAGAGACUUUUUUGUAGGUAUUGGAGUGUUACAUGUGUGUACCAAUUUUUGUACAUGUACGUGAAACAUAGCUCGAGGCGCACUCCGUUUAAAGUGUAUAGGUGGCGCUAUCGAGCCAUUCUGCCACACCCGGUGGAAUAUUGGCCGGGAGAUCUGUUCAGGCCAGGACUCUUAUCACACAUGUGAAGUUUGGGGAAGAUCGGACAUUUUAUGCCUGAGUUAUAACAUCUUUUAUUCCCAUGGCGAGACAUCGAACUUCGUUGCGGCGCCAUGAACAAGCCUUUUAACGAAAAUUCAAGAUCUUCACAACUGAACAUGGCACAGGCCUUUAGAUUAGACUGACCACAAAAAAGACAUUGAUGUCAUAAAAUUUGUAGGAGUAGUUCGUCGCAGCGUAAAAUAUGUCACUUCCUGUUGCCAAUAGGUGGCGCUAUGACUAUAACUGAAUAUGGGCAUGUCAAUCUGUUCAGGUUCGGAGUCUCAUCAAACAUGUGAUGUUUGGGGCAGAUUGGACAUUGUAUGUCUGAGUUAUAGCAACUUCAUUUUUCAUGGCGAAUCAUCGAAAUUCGCCAGGCCGCCACGGACACGCCCUUCAACGAAAACUCAAGAUCUUUGCAAUUUAACAUCGCAAAGGCCUUUAGAUUAGGCAUACCAAAUUUGGUGUUGAUUUGAAGAAAUCUCUAGGAGGAGUUCGUUAAAAUACAACACAUGGAAAUGACCAAAAUUAAACAAAAAAUGCUCAUAAUAUUAAAAAUAACCGACUUCCUGUUGGGUUUAGAAUUUCGCUCCAAGAGUCUUUUUUGUAGGUAUUGGUGUGUUACAUAUGUGUGCCAAUUUUCGUGCAUGUACGUGAAACAUAGCUUGAAGGCUGUUGAUUUUCUUGGUAUAGGUGGCGCUGUCGAGCCAUUUUGCCACACCCUCUUCUGAAUCCUAUAUCACACGAAAAUUUUCACCAGGUUUGACGCGUGUGCAAAGUUUCAUGACUUUUUGAGCAUGUUAAAGCCCUCAAAAAUGCGAUUCAUUCGGGAGAAGAAGAAGAAGAAGAAUAAUAAUAAUAAAUUAAAGCUGCAAGCAGCGAUGAACGGGCCCUCGCACCCGGGCUCACCGGCAGCGAGUGGCUUUAGUUAAUAGGUGAACGGUGAGAAAUAUGCGUUUAAACUCAUAAAUAUAAGUAGAAUAUAUCAAUGUUUAUUCCAUAUAUGUGCCAAUCUUCCUGUUGCCAGCAGGUGGCGCUAUCAUUAUAAUGGAAUAUUGGCCUUCAGAUGUGUUCAGGGCAGGACUUUUAUCGAACAUGUGAGGUUUGGGGAGGAUUGGACAUUUUAUGCCUGAGUUACAACAACAUCCUAUUUCAUGGCGAAACAAUGAAAUUUGUCAGGCCGCCAUGGACACGCCCUUUAACAAAACCUCAAGAUCUUCGCAAUUUAAGAUCGCAAAAGGCUUUAGAUUACACUGACCAAGUUUGGUGUUGAUCUGAAUAAAUAUCUAGGAGGAGUUCGUUAAAGUACAACCCCUGAAAAUGGCCAAAACAACACUAAUUUUGCAGAGAAUAUUCCAAAUAACUGACUUCCUGUUGGGAUUCGGACUUCGUACCAAGAGACUUUUUCGUAGAUAUUGGUGUGUUACAUAUGUGUACCGAUUUUUGUACAUGUACGUGAA